Molecule: long non-coding RNA, 1016 nt
Organism: Ornithorhynchus anatinus (platypus)
Lineage: Eukaryota; Metazoa; Chordata; Mammalia; Monotremata; Ornithorhynchidae
Exons: 3
Source: RefSeq, a predicted model, not a curated record
UGGCGAUCGUUAAAUUCGGCAUCUCCUCGUGGCUGUGCGAAUUGUCCAUUGCCGUAUCGUACCCUCCCGACGGCUUAGCGGAGUGCUCCGCGUACAGUGAGCGCUUAAUAAAUACCGUCGGAUCGAAUGAGUGAAUGAAAAUUCAGGCCCGGGCCGAAGUUUAGGGGUACAGGCAAUUCCAUAAGGAAGCGGAAUCGCAAAUCGUAUUUGGGUCCACGCAGCGGUCGGCUGCCUAACAGAUCGGAAUAGUCCGGGGGAAGGGGAAGUUGGGUUACGCGACGUGGACGCUGUUUAAAAAGUCGGUUAUGUUUUCUUUUCUCGGCUGCUCCCCACGGACAUCCCUCGCGUAGUAAGACCAGCUCCCGUUUGCACGGGACCCCGCAGACAGCUUGCUGAUCAUAAAUGCACCUGCCGCAUUGGGUGGUCCAAAGAAUAAAGAGGAGACCGUGUCUUCUGCUCUCAAGCACAUCGGCGAGGGCGCAGUAACUCUAAAUGCUGCUGCUGCCGCCGCUGGCUACGAUGAUGAUAAUAGCCACAGCGGAGCGGAAAAUGGAAAUUUUAAAACCCGCCUGACCUUUUUUCGAAGAGAGACUUGGAAAUUUGACUGCUUCCAUCUCGGGAUUCGUCGAGAAUCUUUUUUUACGAGACUCUAUAUUCAAGCUGCUCUUUUUCAGAGGCAAAGGAAUCAAUCUUCUGGUUCGUAACAGAGUUAGGAAAUGCCCGACCUCAAUUUCUGAACAACUUGGAAACUUGGCCAUCGUAGAAACUAGAUUAAGGAAAAGAAGACCUCCAGAAUGCCUACAUCACUUGGCUGUCUAUCCAGGCGGACUCCUGGGCUGAUCAUUACACAAAUCCCCUGCCUCGAUGGGCCCGGCCUGCGGUAUCCAAAGCAAACCAAGGCGGAUCAGACCACUUGAAAGCGAGAGUACUAGUCAUCAGUUCCCCGCUUAAUGGCUCGAAAAUGAGGCUGGGACUAUCCUGGUGGUUAAACAGCAGGCAAUAAAUAGCUGCUCAGA